This 910-nucleotide ribosomal RNA is filed under the name uncultured bacterium. RNAcentral describes it as "bacterial SSU rRNA". It matches the Rfam family "Bacterial small subunit ribosomal RNA", at positions 33 to 917 of the family's 1533-position model. The record is from RNAcentral.
ACGCUGGCGGCGUGCCUAAUACAUGCAAGUAGGACGCACAGUCUAUACCGUAGCUUGCUACACCAUAGACUGUGAGUUGCGAACGGGUGAGUAACGCGUAGGUAACCUGCCUAUUAGAGGGGGAUAACUAUUGGAAACGAUAGCUAAUACCGCAUAACAGUAUGUAACACAUGUUAGAUGCUUGAAAGAUGCAAUUGCAUCGCUAGUAGAUGGACCUGCGUUGUAUUAGCUAGUAGGUAGGGUAAUGGCCUACCUAGGCGACGGUACAUAGCCGACCUGAGAGGGUGAUCGGCCACACCGGGACUGAGACACGGCCCAGACUCCUACGGGAGGCAGCAGUAGGGAAUCUUCGGCAAUGGGGGGAACCCUGACCGAGCAACGCCGCGUGAGUGAAGAAGGUUUUCGGAUCGUAAAGCUCUGUUGUUAAGGAAGAACGAGUGUGAGAAUGGAAAGUUCAUACUGUGACGGUACUUAACCAGAAAGGGACGGCUAACUACGUGCCAGCAGCCGCGGUAAUACGUAGGUCCCGAGCGUUGUCCGGAUUUAUUGGGCGUAAAGCGAGCGCAGGCGGUUAGAAAAGUCUGAAGUGAAAGGCAGUGGCUCAACCAUUGUAGGCUUUGGAAACUGUUUAACUUGAGUGCAGAAGGGGAGAGUGGAAUUCCAUGUGUAGCGGUGAAAUGCGUAGAUAUAUGGAGGAACACCGGUGGCGAAAGCGGCUCUCUGAUCUGUAACUGACGCUGAGGCUCGAAAGCGUGGGGAGCGAACAGGAUUAGAUACCCUGGUAGUCCACGCCGUAAACGAUGAGUGCUAGGUGUUGGGUCCUUUCCGGGACUCAGUGCCGCAGCUAACGCAUUAAGCACUCCGCCUGGGGAGUACGACCGCAAGGUUGAAACUCAAAGGAAUUGACGGG